RNAcentral lists this long non-coding RNA (539 nucleotides) under Ananas comosus (pineapple). RNAcentral's name for it is "long non-coding RNA (ACOM_LNC001509)". The record is from RNAcentral. Lineage: Eukaryota; Viridiplantae; Streptophyta; Magnoliopsida; Poales; Bromeliaceae.
CAUUUUCUUAAUUUUUAUAUUUUGAAUUUCAAAAAACAUAUAUGUUGCUCUUUAAAAAUUUUAAAUUGAUGCAUUUAAUUUACGACAGUUAGGAUUUGUUACUAUUUUGUCAAUUACUUAUAAUUUUUACCCAAAAACAUCUUUAAAAAUAAUAAAAAUAUACCGACAGUCCCUAGAGCAAGUGACAAAGGACUUGAUGGUUGGUACCCGAGAUCCAAGUUCGAAUCCUAGUUGAUUCAUAUUUCCAGCUAAAUUUAUUUCUAAAUGAAAUAAACGAAGCUACAGGGUAGUGUGCUACCUAUAUCUCAAAAAAAAUAAUAAUAAUGAUAUAUAUUAUAUUUUUUAUUAUAUAAUAAGUAAGAAAAUUUUGGUCAUUUCACCCUUUUCAUUAAUACUAUAACUCUUUCAAAAUAUUUGCGAAACUCAAAAUAAAGAUUUUGAAAAGUCGGAAAAGAAGAGUAAAAAAUAUAAAUAUUUACACAGAAUUUUCCGUAUUUUAGCAUACCAAAAACCCUUCUUGUACUUUAUGUCUCUAUUAU